AUCUUAAGUAAUCCGACAUAUUUCUUUAAAAUAUCCCUUUGAACCCCCGAAAAGCGUCUUUCAAAGUUACAGUGCAGACAGCCGAUGCUGUCCGGCCAUACUGUCUUUGUGACGUCAUCGGGAGCCAUCGGCAGUACCAACGAAGGCUCCAUUUGGUAUUUCAAUUGACUAUUAGCGUUAAAACAUAUAAGACAUACAGAUAAAUUUUAAUUAUUGUUCCAUUUAUAUCAGUUUAUAAUAAAAAAUGAUUGUCAUUAUUAAUUUUACAGGAAAUAAGAAAAAUGGUGGGGAAUUGGUGGGAAUAGUUUUAUUGUUUUUUCAUUCCUUUUUUGAAUAAUGUAAUAAUUAUCAUUGUAAUUCAACGCGCGCAUGCGUGCAUUAUUAAUGUACAAUAACAUUCGUACACCUAUGACACGUAAAUUAAAAUUGUUUUUUUCAAUCAUAUGAAUUUCGUAUCGCUUUGUAUCGUCGUAAAUUCAGUCAUUAUCGACGAUUAUAAAGCGGUCGGAAUAGGUUAUUAAGAUAAGCAGACCGCGGACGUAUUCGGAAUCUCCAACACACGCAUUUAUUCGUUGUUAUCUGUUGGAAGCCUUAAACAUGUCGAACUUUGUGAAAUUCGCAACUCUCAGGUCUACCACAGAUUGUACGUUUUGGGCAAAAUUUGCAGAAUUGAAAAUAGAUAAAUUCAAAUUGGAUGAGAAAGCAGUGAUUAAUUUAUGGGGAAUUUAUAGCCUCGAGUCUUUAAACGAGGAGAAUACUAAUCCGUUGAUAAUGGAUUGUACGUCUUUCAACGAAGACACUGAAACGUUCAGUCAUAAUUCAUCUGUGGUUUGUUUGGGACAUAUGAUCAAUACCAACACCUUUGAAGCAUUUCGAAAGAUAGAUCCUGAGAAACUCAUUGAUUCAAUCGGAAAGGAUAUAAUUCACAGCAUUCAAGAUGGUUCUAUAUUACAGAAACCUUGGAAACUCUCGUUAUUUUUAGUAGUGGCUUAUUCAGAUUUGAAAAAAUACAGAUUUCAUUAUUGGGUUGCUCAUCCUACUCCUUUAAAAUUGCCUGAAAUGUACUAUGAAGAGAAUCCAAAACCAAUUAACCAGGAAUUUACUAAUAAUUCGGAUGAUCUAUGCAGAGGCUUUCUACGAUUAGACAGCAGAUCAAAAAAUUAUUUUAUAGUCUUAAUAUCUAAAGAAGAUAAAAUGAGCAUCGUUGAUUUAGCCACAGGAAUCAAUACGCUUGAGAUGAAUAAAGUUGAUUCAAAUGGAUCGCAGGAAUACAAGGAACUUUACUUUGCAUUUUAUGACCCUUGUACAACCGCACAACCUGGAUGGCCAUUACGUAAUUUACUAUGUUUAUUAUUAUGGCAUUGUCCUACGUAUUGUUUCACAAAAAUUAUUAAAGUAAUAUCAAUACGAGGAAACAAGGCCCAGAAUAGUAUCGUCUUUAAAUUAAAGACAAAAGAGUACGAAGAUUCGAAGAAAAUCAGAAACUACGUAUUUGGAUGUUCUUUGGUUGGUUGGGAAAGAAACGCAGCUGGUAAAAUGGGCCCUACUAUUGUAGAUCUAUCGCAUACCAUGGACCCAGCCAAAUUAUCAGACAGAGCUAUCAACCUGAACUUAAAAUUAAUGAAAUGGCGUCUUGUACCAGAUUUAGAUCUAGAAAAGGUUAGUAAUCUUAGGUGCCUUCUAUUGGGUGCUGGCACUUUGGGUUGUGCGGUGUCGAGAGUCCUUCUUGGUUGGGGAGUGAACAGCAUAACUUUUGUUGAUAGCUCGAACGUUUCUCACAGUAACACAGUAAGACAAAGUUUGUACACUCAUGAGGAUGCUGUGAAACAUAAGCACAAGGCUCAUGCAGCUAGAGACGCGUUGCUUAAUAUAAGACCAAGUAUGAACGCAGAAGGUGUGGUCCUCCAUAUUCCAAUGCCCGGACACGUCGUUGGUGAAAGCAUGAUGGCCUCUACGAUAAAGUCAUUGGAACAAUUAGAGGAACUCGUCGAGAAGAGCGACGUGGUAUUUCUUUUACUGGAUUCUCGCGAAGCUAGGUGGUUGCCCACUGUUUUGUGCGCGGCGAAGAAUAAAAUUGCGAUCAACGCAGCUUUAGGUUUUGAUUCUUACACCGUCCAGAGACACGGUCCUCGGAACCUUACGGUUCCAUCUUCUCCAGACUUGGACACAAAACAUCCUUGCGGUUCAGAUCUUGGUUGUUACUUUUGUAACGAUGUAACGCAGCCUGGAAACUCGCAAACCGAUAGAACCCUGGACCAGCAGUGCACAGUUAGCAGGCCAGGUUUAUCACAAAUUGCUGCAGGAUUGGCGGUUGAAUUACUGGCAGCUGUAACGCAACAUCCUCAAGGCAUCGAGGCUGGAGCGUUAGUGGGCAACAGCAGGGACAGUAUUACUCAGAAUGAUACCGAAUUAGUCGGUCUGUUGGGAUGUGUACCGCAUACGAUACGCGGUUCUCUAUGGAAUUACGAUACACAGUUGACGAUUACACACAGGUUCACCGCGUGUACCGCGUGUUCCGUCCCUGUUAUCAUGGAAUAUAAAAAUCGCGGUUUAUCGUUCGUAUUGGACGCGUGUAAUAUUCCAAACUAUUUGGAGAAAUUAUCUGGUUUGGAACUGAUAUUGAAGAGACCCGAUUUAGAGGAUCUUUGCUACGCGUUGGACAACAUAAGCGACGACGAAGAAGAGAAAAAAGAUGAUACGCCUUGAAAAAAUAAAAUUAUCAUCGCUUGUACACAUUUUACUUUGGACGAAGAUGCGUUUGUUACAUGUAUAAUAGAUUAAGAUUGACACUCGACAUAUGUCUUUGUAAAGUAUAAUCUUCAGAUCAAUUUAUUAUUACAGAUACAAUUUUUAUAUAAAAUUUUAUACAAAUACUGAGAAAAAAAAGAAAGAAACGCAAUGCAACAAAAUGUCUUUCAAUCUCGUUUUUAACGAUCGGAUAACGCAAGCAGGAUAUAGAUUAAUAAAUGUUAAUAAAUACAGUGGUUGUCUAUGGUA
This is an RNA transcript of Osmia lignaria (orchard mason bee), 2997 nucleotides long. It is a transcript of the gene named Autophagy-related 7, with no coding region annotated. Lineage: Eukaryota; Metazoa; Arthropoda; Insecta; Hymenoptera; Megachilidae. The record is from RefSeq and is a predicted model, not a curated record.